RNAcentral lists this non-coding RNA (29 nucleotides) under Rattus norvegicus (Norway rat). The record is from RNAcentral. Lineage: Eukaryota; Metazoa; Chordata; Mammalia; Rodentia; Muridae.
GAGAAUGGUUUGCUGUAGCAUAUGGUUGA